This 254-nucleotide ribosomal RNA is filed under the name uncultured prokaryote. RNAcentral describes it as "partial 16S ribosomal RNA". It matches the Rfam family "Bacterial small subunit ribosomal RNA", at positions 524 to 776 of the family's 1533-position model. The record is from RNAcentral.
GACGAACCGUGCGAACGUUAUUCGGAAUCACUGGGCUUAAAGCGCGUGUAGGCGGACCGGCACGUCGGUCGCUGAAAUCCCCCGGCUCAACCGGGGAAGCGGCGCCGAUACGACCGGCCUGGAGGGGCGUAGGGGGACCGGGAACUUCCGGUGGAGCGGUGAAAUGCGUUGAGAUCGGAAGGAACGCCCGUGGCGAAAGCGCGGUCCUGGACGCCAGCUGACGCUGAGACGCGAAAGCCAGGGGAGCGAACGGG